AUACAGUAGAAUGGUUUUAUGCAUAUUUCAUUUGCAUAUCAUUAAGCCAUGUUAGCAAGGGGGCACUCAGAGCCAGGAGAAGUACAAAGUUGGGGAGACAGGGAAGGAAAAAAAGAUCCCUAUGAUGCUUAUCUUCAAACAGGGGCUUGUUCCAUGAUGUGUCUUCUGCUUUUGCUAAAAUCAUUAUGACUUGGAAACCUUUGAAGUUGGAUACAACCUUGGCUUCUUCUAAUUCCUGCAGAGCGGUAUAUUUUUAAAAACAGCAGCAAUGUCCCUGCACUAGACAAUUAAAGGAAUAUAAACUCCAGUGGGCUGAAACUAGUAGCUCUUUGGGGAAUGCAGAGACAGAGGCUUCUACAAAUACCAACACUUAAAAAAUAAUAAAGAGCAUCAUGCUAAAAACAAAGAAAGAAGACAAGAAAUGUUAACAUGUGGAUUAUAUUUGUUCCAUUUGGGGGGUAAUGAACUAAAGAGAAUGAAGAAGCCAUCGGUAAUUUAUCCCCUCAUUAAUGAAGUCACCUUUUGUAUGUGUUUGUUUUUAUCCUUUAAUUGUGAAGAUGGGUGUUGUCACUUUUGAAGUGGUUAAUUAAUUAUUUUAUAGCUCUGAUCCUUCUCCUGCACCUGACAGAAAAGUAAGGUGGUGGUUAGGGAAUAUGUGAGUAUUGGGGGUACCGGGGGUGGAGAAUACAGUGAGUUCUUUGUAGAUCGUAUACAUGCACAACAUAUUAAUUGAGGGCUUUUAAAGUUCCCUCAAUAGGCUGUUUCAUUCUUGGUAAAACGCAGCUGGUUAGCCACUGAUGGUGACUCUUCAAAUACCACUUUAACGAUUUUUAUUCUGUUACCAUCCUUCCUUGUUUUUCCUCAGUCGAGAGUGAGAAUGUGCCGCCACCCUUUCUUGCCCGAGACCUUUCCUCUUCUGUCUUCUUCACUUCCAAUUUUCAAACUGUGGAACAAUGUUGGUUUAAUAUUGAAUCCUGGUCACAGUGUAACUGCACAACUUGAUUUGGAAAUGAGAUGCUGGUUUAUAUUUAAAUUAUCCCCGCUCCUCCCUUAUCCUCCAAAGCUUUGUCUCUGCUAUGAAUAUUCAGAUGAGGCAUGAUGUGAUUGCACUGUACAAUUACUCCUAUCCAUGGUGGUGGCGGGGGCUGCUGGGGAGAGAGCCAGACAGCCUCCAAGCCAGUGUGGAGUUUUGUUUUCGGUGUUUUUUCUAUCUCUUGGCGCUGCGGUACACGCAGGUGUCGCUGUGGUUCUUUAUAAAGCUCUAAUGACAUGCAAAGGCUAACGACUUGGUUUGGACGCAAAGCAUCAACUGAAUGUUAUGGAUGUCUUUAAGAAAGAGAAAGAGAAAAUCCUGACUGAAGGAAUGUCCACAUAAAUUAUUUUUAUUUAAAUGAAUUCAAAGGAUGGGGUGAGGGCAAGUGAGAAGGAGUCACAUGGAAAACAUGCAUAAUAUUAAUAUGCACAAAGAAUUCUUCCCGAGGAGAGGCUCCUCACUACAGCUCAUGGGACAAACAGGUUCAUUAGGAGACAGCUCAGAGCGACUACAGCAUUUUGCUAUUUCAAUUUUUCCCUUAUUUUAAAUGAAGAGUCAGACAGAUGUGUUUUCUUUGCAUGACAGCAUUGAGAUGGAUCCAAUCUGUGAAAUUUGCUGCCCAAAUAGCAUUUCUAAUGGAAGCUGGGACUAAACAAGGGCAUGGAUAUGGAAGGGAGGGGAGAAGAGAGAAUCCACGAAGAGGAGGCUACUCAGCCACUGCAUGGCAUUUUGUAGCACAGGAAGCUGUCAGAAGCCAUCUUUGCUCCACUGGUCCCAGGUGUGGGCUCCUGGUCCAGAGAGCCAUCAGGGUUCACCAAGAUGAGCACUGAGACAGGCCCUUGUAGGUCUGAGGCAGAGGAAAGCAGCAACUUGGUGCCUGCUCCUCCCCCCUCAGCUGUCUUCAGCUCAGAAGCCAAAAGCACAGCUACUAUUUUGGGAUGCAGUAGAAUGCCUCCUGGUCCAGGUAUUCGUGGAAGAAGGAAUUCUUGGUGCUACCGCAGACUAUGUUGCUAAGAGCAGAUGGAAUCAUUCGCUGCUUAAGGAGGCCUGAUCAUUGCUGUGCCGGUUAAUUCUCGGGGUAAUGAUUACUGGGGUUGUCUAACAUUUCAGAGUGCUGAAGUUAUAAGUAUCGAUUAAUGCAUGUUUACAAUCAACAGUGAUAGACAAACAGUGAAUGAGUCUGUUGGGUGGAUUCAGAACUGAUAACAUAUUUGUACUAUUCCUCAUGGUUUCAAAGGAUUAGCAAAGGAUAAAGCAAGACAUAGAAGAUUUUGUUGAUUUCCUUGGCCAAGAGCAUGAGAAAGGGGAAGCUGGGAAGACAGAAUUUCUGACAAAGAACUGCUGUUUAAACUUCACAAAUGAUAGCCCAACAGUGGAACAACGUACCGUUCAGCUGAACAGAACCAGCAGACACAGGUAUCUCAUCCCAGAAGACACGCAGUGAGCAGACACACAGAGGCUGGCUGGCAGGACGUACUCCCCACAGAAGUAACACUGUCCCUCCCCGGCACUGCUUCUGUGUAAACUCCGUACUGCAAUUAAAAAAAAAUCUUCUGUCUUAAGACUUCUUUUUUUGUUUGUUUUUAUUUUUGACUGGUCAGCCAUCAUGGCCCUCUUUUUUUUUUUUUGUCUCCCCAACUUGAUGUAUGAAGGCUUCGGUCUCCCUGGGAGUGGGUUGAGGUGUUGAGGCUGCCAGGGUUUGCCUGUACACUGACUUGAGAGACCAGCCUAAUAAAAGUGCACACCUUACAAACAAA
Non-coding RNA from Peromyscus maniculatus bairdii (prairie deer mouse), 2790 nucleotides. The record is from RefSeq and is a predicted model, not a curated record. Lineage: Eukaryota; Metazoa; Chordata; Mammalia; Rodentia; Cricetidae.